This is a long non-coding RNA of Cebus imitator (Panamanian white-faced capuchin), 1334 nucleotides long. RefSeq lists it as uncharacterized. The record is from RefSeq and is a predicted model, not a curated record. The transcript is spliced from 2 exons. NCBI's taxonomy places the organism in Eukaryota, Metazoa, Chordata, Mammalia, Primates, Cebidae.
CUGCCCCUGGACCCAUGGGUGCGCGCGGCCGCCUGCCCCUAGUCUCCGAGCCGCCCCCGCAGCCACUGCCGCCGCUGCCUGCUAGGCCCUCGCCCUUCAGCCUGCUGGCGCCCCCAGCUACCCGCGACCCGUGGCCACUGCCCGCUUUGCCCCCGCCCCCGCCCCCGCCGCCGCCGCAUUUCUUCCUGUCGCCUCCCUGCUGACCCGGCGGUCCCGCGGCGGGAUCUGGAUGCCACGGCUAAGACCGUCCUCAGUUUAUGACUGUUGAAAAUUCUGAUCCUGCCUCAAAAGACUUGAGAAGUCUAACUUUCAACUGAAACAGAUCCAGGGGUUGGGCUGGCCGUGCAGACCAGGGAAGCUACGGUGUGGAUUGAUACUGGACCCGAAGGUCACAUGCAAGGGCUGUGAAGUCAUCCGCACGGGACAGGAGAGCUUCCCUACCCCUCCUUCCCGCGCUAGGCCCUGAGAGGAGGCUCCUGUUCUCUCUGGCUUUGCCCGAACCCCACCCGCCAGUUUCUGUGCAGCCUCUACGACUCAAUAAAGUUCUCUUUGUUCCCUAGGUGGCCUGAGCUCAGGUAAUCAGGCGGAAGUUCUAUCUCAGUGGGCUCUUCUCCAGCAGCCCAGGACCGGUAUCAGGAAGCUAACCUUGACCCUGGGGGACCCUGGAGAGCCGGGGACCCUGGAGAGCCCGGGACCCACCACCGAGAAAGGCAGUGUACUAGUUCCUUGUGACUGCAGUAACAAAUGUGUACACACUGAGUGGCUUCAAACAACAGAAACUUAUUCUUUACAGUUCUGGAGGCCAGAAGUCAGAAAUCAAGGUGUGGGCAGGACCAUGUUCCCUUCACCGGUGCUAGAGGAGGGUCCCUCCUGCCUCUCCCACUGCUUGGUGGCUCCAGGCCUUCUGUGGCUUGUGGCCACAUCACUCCAGUUCUCGCCUCCCUCUUCACAUGCCUUCUCCCCAGGUCUGUCUCCAAUCUCCCUGUUUUUAUCUUUUAAGAGGUCAGAUUGUCAUUGAAUGUAGGGCCCAUCUAAAAUCUAGAAUAAUCUCAUUUUGAUAUCCUCAAUUUAAUUACAUGUGCAAAGGCCCUUUUAUCAAGUAAGAUCACAUUCACAGAGUCCAGGGCCUAGGGCGUGGAGGUACUUUGCGUACCCCCAUCCAAUCCAGACAGGCAGUGUCUCUCUUCUUUGGGGCUGGCCUGCCUUCCCAGCUGUCUUCCCAGAAUGGAAUGUGUCUUAGGUCCUGUCUCAGUGACCUGGAGCCCUGGGUGCCCUUGGGCAGGAGCUGAUGGCACUAGUACCUUGAUAAAGGUCUUACUGGCACCUGAAGAAAA